UUAGUUUUAAAUUAAUAAAUAUUUACCAGAGGACUACAAAUAUAACAAUUUAAAACUCAAAGAGCUUGGCGGUGCUUUAGACCUCUCAGGGGAAUCUGCCCCAUAAUCGAUAGUCCGCGCUAAACCUUACCUUUAUUAGCAACCAGUUUGUAUACCGUCGUCGGCAGGUAACUUUUUAAAAUAUAAAAGUUAGCAAAUAAAAACUCAAUUUUUACGUCAGAUCAAGGUGCAACUUAUAUAAAGGUGCGGGUGGAUUACAAUUAAAAUUUAUAAAACGGAAAAUUUUUGAAACAAACUUACUAAGGUGGACUUGAAAGUAAAAAUUUAUAUAUAAAUUUUUUGAAUCAGGCUCUAGAGCG
RNAcentral lists this ribosomal RNA (359 nucleotides) under Laevilitorina caliginosa. RNAcentral's name for it is "partial 12S ribosomal RNA". The record is from RNAcentral. Lineage: Eukaryota; Metazoa; Mollusca; Gastropoda; Littorinimorpha; Littorinidae.